This 497-nucleotide ribosomal RNA is filed under the name uncultured bacterium. Its description in RNAcentral is "partial 16S ribosomal RNA". It matches the Rfam family "Bacterial small subunit ribosomal RNA", at positions 28 to 507 of the family's 1533-position model. The record is from RNAcentral.
GAUGAACGCUGGCGGCGUGCCUAAUACAUGCAAGUCGAGCGAACAGAUAAGGAGCUUGCUCCUUUGACGUUAGCGGCGGACGGGUGAGUAACACGUGGGUAACCUCCCUAUAAGACUGGGAUAACUUCGGGAAACCGGAGCUAAUACCGGAUAACAUUUGGAACCGCAUGGUUCUAAAGAGAAAUAUGGUUUUGCUAUCACUUAUAGAUGGACCCGGGCCGUAUUAGCUGGUUGGUAAGGUAACGGCUUACCAAGGCGACGAGACGUAACCGACGUGAGAGGGGGAUCGGCCACAUUGGAACGUAGACACGCUCCAUACUCCUACGGGAGGCAGCAGUAUGGUAUCUUCCGCAAUGGGCGGAAGCCUGACGGAGCAACGCCGCGUGAGUGACGAAGGGUUUCGGCUCGUAAAACUCUGUUAUUAGGGAAGAACAAACUUGUAAGUAACUGUGCACGUCUUGACGGUACCUAAUCAGAAAGCCACGGCUAACUACGUG